GAUUUCGUGAAUAUUUUUAUGCUUAAAAAUUAUUUAAAAUAUUUACGGGGAGUAAUACGCUUUAGUUUUUUAGGUUAUCUAGUUUAGCUGAUUUAAAGGGAAACCUUUUUAAGUUUUCGAGUUUUGGUGGGUUUGGGUUUUUUUUUAAUAGUAAAUAACUGUGUAAUAACUUUAUUUUUGUUAGGUGAGAAAAUUUAUUCUUUUAAUAACGUAAAUAAUUAAUUAAUAGAUUAGUAGAUUUAUUUUAGUUUUGUUUUGUUUUUUUUUGUUUUAUUAAAAGUUUGUAAUUAUUUUUAUUUACUGAUUUUAUCUUAGACUGGUUAAUAAAAUCUUAGCUACAAAAUUUGUAGUUAUUUCUGCUCUAUGCUAAAAGUAAAUGGCUGUUUUUGACACUAAGGUAGCAAAAUCCUUAGUUAUUUAAUUGGUAACUUGUAUGAAUGAAUUUUCUAAGAAAAUAUUAAUUUUUUUUUUGAAUUUAUAAAUUUGUUGAAAAUAACAAUUUUUCCUAUAAGACUAAAAGACCCUAAAAUUUUUAUAACUGUGUUUAAAGGUUAUUUGGUUGGGGCAAUAGUGAAAAGUUAAUAUUAAAUGAUUUAUUUUUCUUUGAACUUUUUUUAUUGAUAAAAGGUAAAAUACUUUAGGGAUAACAGCUUAAUUAUUUUUUAGAGUUCUUAUUAUUAAAAUAGUUUUAGACCUCGAUGUUGGAUUGGAAUAACUUUUUGGGGCAG
This 728-nucleotide ribosomal RNA is filed under the name Analges spiniger. RNAcentral's name for it is "partial large subunit ribosomal RNA". The record is from RNAcentral. Lineage: Eukaryota; Metazoa; Arthropoda; Arachnida; Sarcoptiformes; Analgidae.